GUUCACAUGCAUUAUAGCUCUGUUGGUUAGAGCAUGGUGCUGAUAACGCCAAGGUUGCAGGUUCAAUUCCCAUAUGGAACA
This 81-nucleotide transfer RNA is filed under the name Podarcis lilfordi (Lilford's wall lizard). Its description in RNAcentral is "tRNA.Ile". The stretch from base 15 to 73 matches the Rfam family "tRNA", at positions 8 to 63 of the family's 71-position model. Rfam says of the family: Transfer RNA (tRNA) molecules are approximately 80 nucleotides in length. Their secondary structure includes four short double-helical elements and three loops (D, anti-codon, and T loops). Further hydrogen bonds mediate the characteristic L-shaped molecular structure. tRNAs have two regions of fundamental functional importance: the anti-codon, which is responsible for specific mRNA codon recognition, and the 3' end, to which the tRNAs corresponding amino acid is attached (by aminoacyl-tRNA synthetases). tRNAs cope with the degeneracy of the genetic code in two manners: having more than one tRNA (with a specific anti-codon) for a particular amino acid; and 'wobble' base-pairing, i.e. permitting non-standard base-pairing at the 3rd anti-codon position. The record is from RNAcentral. Lineage: Eukaryota; Metazoa; Chordata; Lepidosauria; Squamata; Lacertidae.